RNAcentral lists this long non-coding RNA (5803 nucleotides) under Chlamydomonas reinhardtii. RNAcentral describes it as "long non-coding RNA (CREI_LNC001005)". The record is from RNAcentral. Lineage: Eukaryota; Viridiplantae; Chlorophyta; Chlorophyceae; Chlamydomonadales; Chlamydomonadaceae.
GGCGAACAGAGUAAGUACCGUAUCGGAGAUACUAAAGAGAAGCCAGACCUGGUGAUGAACUUGCGUGGUAGAGUCGGUUAAAAAAGCAGCGGAAUGGUGCAUCUUACGCGGGAUUCUAUGUUGUGUGAUUCAUGACUGCGUUGCAGGCAGUAUAUCAUCAUGGGGUAGCAGCCAUCUACGGGGGGCAUCUUGGGGGUUAACGUUGAACCAAUCCCGUAAGGAAACAGUCGCGCGGCAAGGAUCGGGGGGCAUCUUGGGGGGUGGGUCUGGUCGGGCAUCUGUCUCGCGCGGCAUCUUGGUUGCGGCCGGGCGGCAUCUUGGUUGGCGGCAGGGGUGCCGUUGCGCAUCUCAGCUGCCGCCCGUUGGGACCAGUCCAGCCCUGUCUAUCGCACGGUAUUACUCGUCGUAAGGUGUAACCUGCACGCACACACGACACAUCGUGCACUCUCGACCCCACCGUCCCCCACCUGCACCCCAGCAACCCUCGCCACCACGGGCCAUGUCCAGCGCCGCAGACGAAGCACCCACGAGGGAAGUGGUGUCAAGCCGGUUCGAUACUAUAUGAUACCGAACUAUCACUGGAUGCACGGGGGCAAGACAUGGCCAGCACAUGGUAGAUUGGUAGUGCUUUCGUUCCUGAGGACCUGCAUCGGUGCUGUGACCUAGAGGUGAACAGGCCCCGAGGCCGCACACAGGAGGCACGCGCAUGCCGAGCGUGUGGCGUGCCUGGGGCUGUAGCGGAUGAUUGCAUGCUCUUUCUAGAAUGCCCCGCUUAUGAGCAAAAUGUUCCAAUUAUGAAAGUAGUCUUCAGCUAUCCCAGCACUCUAUGCGUACUUGCUUUAAGAGCAAGGACCCAAGAGAGACUGCUGAGUAGAUCAGCGCUUUGUUAGCGCAUCGGGAGAGCAUAGCUAAGAGUCACACGCGUAUCCAUCGCCCCACCACAGCUUCCCAUGAUUCAAGGGACACUGUAACUGUAGCUGUGGCAUGGGUGCUGAGCCACUGCCACACAGGGCUCCAUCAUAAUGUCUCCAGACAGUAAUCGGCCUUUUUGGCCGUUUCCUAGACGUUCCUCCCGGGAGCUGAUGUCUGGGGUGAGACUUUGUUGGCCCGGGUUUGGGGCGGGUUUUGUCCGAAUUCCUAUGGAGAAGGCCCCAAACCGCCAUGUGCCCAGGCAAAUGACGGCGGCCGCCCAGGCGUUUUUGGUUGCGGGCGCUGGCGAACUAGUAGCAAAUGCAAGGACAGCCGCAAAGAUUGACACCAUUGUAGUUGGGCUGGCCAGUGGUACAUGCUGUGGGCGCCUGGGAAGCAUGACUGGCUAGGGGGCGUGACUGCAGCAGGGCACCGGCGUCAGAUCACUCACUCGUAUUGGCAGCUGGAGCUGGGAGGAAGGCCAACUUUAUGCGAUGGUGCUGCUGGUGUGGCGGAGGUGAUGGCAGCUUGCUGCUUUACGUGGCGGGAUGCUGCAAGUCAGGCACGGCGGCAUGUACCAAGUCAGUAGCGGCCUGCCUGGCACAAACUCCAGAGCUUGGCCUGACGCGUACUUGGGGCAACCAAGCGUUCAAAUAACAAAGACGGUGCUCUCGCGAUGCAGAGUGCGAUGGUGUUUCUAGACACCUUCACAGCGGGGACCGUUGCACGACAUCCCACGGGUGCUUUAUGGUCAUGUACGCGGGGGGGGGGGGGUAGAUAGCUCAGAAUCUUAAUCCAUGCUUAAAAUCGUAGAGCUUUAGGAAAGCAUUACGCACGUAGUUUUAGUUUUGUCAGGGGUGGUCUGAUAAGGAAGUUCUGGGCCGAUAAAGUGGGGGGGGGUCGGUCGUCGUCCCUGGGGGUCUGCCGGGUUUCGGGAGCCCGUCCUGGCGGAUUUUGGGAAGCGCCCCAUAAACAGAACUAGGGGCCAAACUCAGCACCACGAGGCUCAAACAUGCACGUUAUGCAGUAGCACGCACAAACAAAGCGUGGGAGGGACUAGUUUGCACGGCAUGCACGUCGGCAUGUCCCCACUUUCGACGAAUGCGCAUUGACAUGGCGGGGCUCUCAAGGGCAGGUGCGCAUGAAUUCAUGUGUAACAAGGCUGCCAAUGCACGCUGUCCAUACAUCACAUGGCAGAGAGAUGAACGCGGGGUGGGCUUUCGAAGGGAUUUCCAUAGAAUCCGCCUGGAAUCCCGCGUGUGACCGAAGUCUUAGAACAGGAUCGGCGAUGCCACAGCGUGAUAGCGCUCGUCAAGAGGAGUUCACUUUGGUAUUACAUGUACGGGUUUUAACCCUAAACAACAAGUUUUGCCCGUUGGGGGUUCGCCGGGUCCUGCCGGGUCGGUGCUCCCCUCAAAGGGGUGCCGGGGGAUUUCGGGGCAUGCGGUCUGGCACUUUGUUUCCUACCCCCAACCUCCUGAUGUACGCUCCCGGUCAUGCUGGGCGUGGGACCUUGUGCUGUUGCGUGGAGGCGCAUCCCGACCAGCCAGGGACGGUAGGACGCCGCGCACAGCCGCAUUAGAGGGUUGUGGGUUGCCGCAACUAGUGGUCUCUGCGGACUGCUGAGUUCGCGCACAUCCCGGGACUUCAUGUCAGUUGUCAGCACUUGUCAAGUCAACCAGUUACCAACUAGCACAGCGUUGAGCGCGCUAACCUACCACAACGCAAGGAGCCCUGUUUAGCGAAUAGAGGUUACAUGUGGGAUGACAGCCGCGGGCAAGCCAGGGCUUCAUAAACGCACGAGACACGUACGCACACUCGAGGAGAGAACCUCGAAUGACCCCCAUGCUCCUCGCCUCACUAAAGGAGGGGAGGAACCCCGAGCAAGGCUCACCGCAAACGCUAGCGCUGCUCACCUAAGCCGCGGGUCGGCGUCAGACUGACUGCCACUUUGCAAAGUGCAACUCCUACCCCAAAACACCAGCACCAACAGGGCAGGGCCCUCACACUGUUGGGUGCAGCCCGAAGCUGCAUCCUGUCGACGGCCUAGGGCCGGUCCGACCCACCAGACAGCACAAGCCACAGCGCCCGCACCCUAGCGCAGGCGGUGCAGGCACGCCCACCGCCCAACCAAGUCCACACAGCCGCGCAACACCCUAGCACAGCAGACAGCGCAAGCCAGCCUUCGCUUAGUCGGCCUGCGCCAGCCAGCCUUCGCUGGACUGCCUUCGCCAGACUGCAUUCGCCAAGCAGGUCUCUCCACUGGCCACACCACGAGGUGUGUAGAUGCGCCCACAGCUCCAGCCGCCGCCGCCCGGAAGACGCCGGUCCUGGCUCCCGCCGCAGCGUGCCCCGAAAGAGCCGCUCAGCGACACGCCACUGCGAGCCCGGCAGCAGCGAGCGCCCCGCCAGAAGCAUCGCGAAGCCAUGAGGACGAGGUCGAACGGCGAGCAGGCGCGCCACCCACGCUAGGUCGCGAAGGCUCCACGGUGUGAAGUCAUGAUGUUCGGCAAAGAUUGCCAGAGCGGGGUCCGCUCGGCAGGACGGCGACGAUGAUGUCGCCGACUGAGUGGCGCGCCGCAGCCAGAGCAGUACUGACGCACUACAGCUGACCUAAGCAACGCCAGGGACGCCAUGGAGGCGCCACAGGGGAUUGGCGCGGCCACGAAGGCCGGCCAGGAACUACUACCGACAAGGAGGGUUAGGGCGCCGAGGCGCCCUAACGCAACCAAGCGGAGUAGAACGAGUUCAAUAGCUGAUAGAGGUUACAUGUGGGACGACAGCCGUGGACUAGCCAGGGCCCCAAAAACGUACGAGACACGCACGCUCACCCGAGGAGAGAUCCCCGAAUGACCCCCAUGCUCCUCGCCUCCGGAGAGGGGAGGAACCCCAGGCCCGGCUCACCGCAAACGCUAGCGCUGCUCACCUAAGCCGUGGGUCGGCGUCAUAAGACUACCUCUUAUUGCGAGUCCCUAAGCUGACAAGCUAGGGUGAGGCCGGUGGCGAGUCCGCUGUUGGCCCUACCAAGAUAACCCCUCCAACAUCAUCUGACGCUAGGAAUGGGUGCUGGUUCGGGACAAGGUCCCAGCGGCGCGGAGGCCGACGCAGACUCACAAACGCAGCUAGCCGUGACCAGAAGUCCGCAAUCACCUCCACACCGAUCCUUCGCACAACAGCAACCUCCGCAGUCCGGUCUGCAGCAUCACGGCAAGCGUAAAGGCGCUGUCGGCCGUAUUCCAGGGCCGCCACAGCAGCCAAGCACACGAUGUCCCACACCGCCUGCGAUAGCCCUGGUGGCGCCUGUACUCAAUAGCGAAUAGAGGUUACAUGUGGGACGACAGCCGCGGGCAAGCCAGGGCUUCAUAAACGCACGAGACACGUACGCACACUCGAGGAGAGAACCUCGAAUGACCCCCAUGCUCCUCGCCUCACUAAAGGAGGGGAGGAACCCCGAGCAAGGCUCACCGCAAACGCUAGCGCUGCUCACCUAAGCCGCGGGUCGGCGUCAGACUGACUGCCACUUUGCAAAGUGCAACUCCUACCCCAAAACACCAGCACCAACAGGGCAGGGCCCUCACACUGUUGGGUGCAGCCCGAAGCUGCAUCCUGUCGACGGCCUAGGGCCGUGCAAGUUCGCUGAACCACGAGGAUCAGCCGGUCCGACCCACCAGACAGCACAAGCCACAGCGCCCGCACCCUAGCGCAGGUGGUGCAGGCACGCCCACCGCCCAACCAAGUCCACACAGCCUCGCAACACCCUAGCACAGCAGACAGCGCCAGCCAGCCUUCGCUUAGUCGGCCUGCGCCAGCCAGCCUUCGCUGGACUGCCUUCGCCAGACUGCAUUCGCCAAGCAGGUCUCUCCACUGGCCACACCACGAGGUGUGUAGAUGCGCCCACAGCUCCAGCCGCCGCCGCCCGGAAGACGCCGGUCCUGGCUCCCGCCGCAGCGUGCCCCUGUUCACGCGCAGCGAGCCCGGCGCCACGUCAGGCCGCGGCAGCAGCCCACAGCAAGAGUCGCCAGCAGCUCCAAUCGGCCCGCCGUUACCGAAAGAGCCGCUCAGCGACACGCCACUGCGAGCCCGGCAGCAGCGAGCGCCCCGCCAGAAGCAUCGCGAAGCCAUGAGGACGAGGUCGAACGGCGAGCAGGCGCGCCACCCAUGCUAGGUCGCGAAGGCUCCACGGUGUGAAGUCAUGAUGUUCGGCAAAGAUUGCCAGAGCGGGGCCCGCUCGGCAGGACGGCGACGAUGAUGUCGCCGACUGAGUGGCGCGCCGCAGCCAGAGCAGUACUGACGCACUACAGCUGACCUAAGCAACGCCAGGGACGCCAUGGAGGCGCCACAGGGGAUGGGCGCGGCCACGAAGGCCGGCCAGGAACUACUACCGACAAGGAGGGUCAGGGCGCCGAGGCGCCCUAACGCAACCAAGCGGAGUAGAACGAGUUAGCUGGUUCAAUAGCCCAGCUAUAUACAUAUGCCAUGGAAAGUGUGACGCACCCGGUGCGUUUGCGCUACAGCGCGAUUUAGCUCGAACCAACUAGCAUGAUCGAUUAUUCGCAGCUUCCUGUAUACGUGAUCUUCUGUCCAGGCCGCGAGAGCGAGUGCAGCGUAUGAACGAAGCCGGUAACUGCGCUUUCUUGGCUUCCUCGAGAAUGCGCGCAGCUAUAACUUACAGUGCGAUGUAUUAGCGACACAGUCUGGCCUGCCAGAGCGCGCACUUGCAAGAAUUUCAGAGCGGGCUCGUUCCGAUCGGCUGGGAUGAAAGCUUACACGAUAUGUGCGAGCAGCUGUAUCCGUUGAUAUAAUCGGUGAGCAAAGUCAUGCACAGUUGCGAUGUGCUGUGAACUUUUAGCACGCUCGGCGACCCAGCUCGGCGAACCUCCUCGCUGGCGGGGGG